Olea europaea var. sylvestris is the source of this 499-nucleotide long non-coding RNA. RefSeq lists it as uncharacterized. The transcript has 4 exons. Lineage: Eukaryota; Viridiplantae; Streptophyta; Magnoliopsida; Lamiales; Oleaceae. The record is from RefSeq and is a predicted model, not a curated record.
UCACUAUGGUUCCUCCAAAUGUUUCAAUCUCUGCCAAUGCUCGCAUCGGAGCUGGUGUGAGGCUUGUCAGUUGUAUUAUUCUUGAUGAUGUUGAAAUCCAGGAAAACGCUGUUGUAAUCCACGCAAUUAUUGGAUGGAAGUCUUCCAUCGGAAGGUGGUCAAGAGUCCAAGCUUCAGGAGAUUACAAUGCAAAGCUCGGAGUCACAAUUCUUGGUGAAUCUGUAACAGUAGAAGAUGAAGUUGUGGUAAUCAACAGCAUUGUCCUUCCAAACAAGACUCUUAACGUAAGUGUUCAAGAAGAAAUUAUACUUUAGUGCACUGAUAUUUUUCGACGAGGCUUCUUCUACAACUACAAACUCGACUCCUUUUAUGCAUAUUUUGUACCUUUAUUGUUGCACCUUAUAGUUUUAUUGAAUUCGAAAAAUGCAGUUUUCACUUUUUUUUUUAAUUUGUAAAUUGACAUUGGCAUGGUUGGAAUAAAAGAAAUUUUACUUUUUUA